RNAcentral lists this ribosomal RNA (696 nucleotides) under Vibrio parahaemolyticus. RNAcentral's name for it is "bacterial SSU rRNA". It matches the Rfam family "Bacterial small subunit ribosomal RNA", at positions 68 to 749 of the family's 1533-position model. The record is from RNAcentral. Lineage: Bacteria; Pseudomonadati; Pseudomonadota; Gammaproteobacteria; Vibrionales; Vibrionaceae.
GAGUUAUCUGAACCUUCGGGGAACGAUAACGGCGUCGAGCGGCGGACGGGUGAGUAAUGCCUAGGAAAUUGCCCUGAUGUGGGGGAUAACCAUUGGAAACGAUGGCUAAUACCGCAUGAUGCCUACGGGCCAAAGAGGGGGACCUUCGGGCCUCUCGCGUCAGGAUAUGCCUAGGUGGGAUUAGCUAGUUGGUGAGGUAAGGGCUCACCAAGGCGACGAUCCCUAGCUGGUCUGAGAGGAUGAUCAGCCACACUGGAACUGAGACACGGUCCAGACUCCUACGGGAGGCAGCAGUGGGGAAUAUUGCACAAUGGGCGCAAGCCUGAUGCAGCCAUGCCGCGUGUAUGAAGAAGGCCUUCGGGUUGUAAAGUACUUUCAGUCGUGAGGAAGGCGGCGUCGUUAAUAGCGGCGUUGUUUGACGUUAGCGACAGAAGAAGCACCGGCUAACUCCGUGCCAGCAGCCGCGGUAAUACGGAGGGUGCGAGCGUUAAUCGGAAUUACUGGGCGUAAAGCGCAUGCAGGUGGUUUGUUAAGUCAGAUGUGAAAGCCCGGGGCUCAACCUCGGAAUAGCAUUUGAAACUGGCAGACUAGAGUACUGUAGAGGGGGGUAGAAUUUCAGGUGUAGCGGUGAAAUGCGUAGAGAUCUGAAGGAAUACCGGUGGCGAAGGCGGCCCCCUGGACAGAUACUGACACUCA